Molecule: ribosomal RNA, 371 nt
Filed under: uncultured bacterium
Lineage: Bacteria
Description: bacterial SSU rRNA
Rfam family: Bacterial small subunit ribosomal RNA
Source: RNAcentral
ACUCCUACGGGAGGCAGCAGUGGGGAAUAUUGCACAAUGGGCGCAAGCCUGAUGCAGCCAUGCCGCGUGUAUGAAGAAGGCCUUCGGGUUGUAAAGUACUUUCAGCAGUGAGGAAGGCGGGUGUGUUAAUAGCACAUUCGUUUGACGUUAGCUGCAGAAGAAGCACCGGCUAACUCCGUGCCAGCAGCCGCGGUAAUACGGAGGGUGCGAGCGUUAAUCGGAAUUACUGGGCGUAAAGCGCAUGCAGGUGGUUUGUUAAGUCAGAUGUGAAAGCCCGGGGCUCAACCUCGGAAUUGCAUUUGAAACUGGCAGACUAGAGUACUGUAGAGGGGGGUAGAAUUUCAGGUGUAGCGGUGAAAUGCGUAGAGAUC